RNAcentral lists this ribosomal RNA (86 nucleotides) under Phocaeicola acetigenes. Its description in RNAcentral is "partial 16S ribosomal RNA". It matches the Rfam family "Bacterial small subunit ribosomal RNA", at positions 1448 to 1533 of the family's 1533-position model. The record is from RNAcentral. Lineage: Bacteria; Pseudomonadati; Bacteroidota; Bacteroidia; Bacteroidales; Bacteroidaceae.
AGGAGCGCCCUAGGGUAAAACUGGUAAUUGGGGCUAAGUCGUAACAAGGUAGCCGUACCGGAAGGUGCGGCUGGAACACCUCCUUU